CAUUAUCGUACAACGAGAGGUGUGUCGGGGCUGUCGCUGACCCUUUUAAAGUCGUGCACGCCUCGAGCACUCUCACUCAUGUCCAUCACACCCUUGUGCAUCACCGCGUGGGCUCCAUUAAAAAAGGGGCCUGCGUUUUUCUUACAUGGACGCCAGUCGUAGGAUGUUCAUUAUGUGAUGAGUACAUGAUCAAUACAACUUUCAACAACGGAUCUCUUGGCUCUCGCAUCGAUGAAGAACGCAGCGAAAUGCGAUAUGUAAUGUGAAUUGCAGAAUUCAGUGAAUCAUCGAAUCUUUGAACGCACCUUGCGCCUCUUGGCAUUCCGAGGGGCACACCCGUUUGAGUGUCGUGAAAUCCUCAACCUUUCACCGUUUCUUUGAUCGGAGAAGGCUUGGACUUUGGAGGCUAUUGCUGGCUCUCCCCUCUACGGGGCCAGCUCCUCUUAAAUCAAUUAGCAGGGUCUCCUUUGCUGAUCCUGGGACGUGAUAAGCUGCUUCUACGUCUCCGGGUUUGGCUUCUCUUGCCUUGCUUCUAAUCUGUCGGACUUUUUACCUUUUGACCUCAAAUCGGGUGAGACUACCCGCUGAACUUAAGCAUAUAUCAAUAAGCGGAGGAAAAGAAACUAACGAGGAUUCCCCUAGUAACUGCGAGUGAAGCGGGAAAAGCUCAAANUUAAAAUCUGGCGGUCUUUGGCCGUCCGAGUUGUAAUUUAGAGAAGCGUCUUCCGCACCGGGCCAUGCACAAGUCUCCUGGAAUGGAGCCUCAUAGAGGGUGAGAAUCCCGUCUCUGGCAUGGACCCUCCGGUGCUUCUGUGAUGCGCUCUCGAAGAGUCGAGUUGUUUGGGAAUGCAGCUCAAAAUGGGUGGUGAACUCCAUCUAAAGCUAAAUAUUGG
RNAcentral lists this ribosomal RNA (893 nucleotides) under uncultured fungus. Its description in RNAcentral is "eukaryotic LSU rRNA". The stretch from base 558 to 893 matches the Rfam family "Eukaryotic large subunit ribosomal RNA", at positions 1 to 326 of the family's 3401-position model. Lineage: Eukaryota; Fungi. The record is from RNAcentral.